Molecule: unclassified non-coding RNA, 847 nt
Filed under: Hevea brasiliensis (rubber tree)
Lineage: Eukaryota; Viridiplantae; Streptophyta; Magnoliopsida; Malpighiales; Euphorbiaceae
Source: RNAcentral
GACUUUAUUUAUAAACUUUGGAAUAUUAUAUGUUAAAAUAGCAUUUAAACAUUUUAUAUGAUUAUUAAAUUUUAAAAUAGAAAUUAUUAAUGGAGAAUAUGUUUUUAUAUAAAUUAUCAAUUAAAUAUACAAAGUUAAACAGGUUAUGAGAGCACGUAGUAAGCGGUAAAUUCUAAUCAGGUUCAGGACAAGUUCAGAGGUUCGAAUUUGGGUAUCUUAAAUUUUGCAGGCACCCAGCCCAUUGCCAUCCUUAUUUGACAUAAAUAUUUUAUCAAAUAUAUGCCAACAAAGAUUAAGGAAUGCAUAUUUUCUGUCAAGGAUAUAAAGUUCUGUUAUUGAUUGUUUUCCCUUCAAUACUUUACAGUGGGGAUGAAAGAAAGACUUUUAAUCCUUCCCACUAUUUUUUGCUUUCUUGGAGUAAAAGGAAUGAGAGAUUGAGAGUGCUUUUCAGGGGAACAGCUUUCUCCCUAAAUUGUCAAAGAAAGAUGACUUAUAUUGAGUCUUAUUGGACCUUGGGGAUAUGAAAGAUGCCAUAGAAUUCAUUAUCUUUGUGGCCCUGUAAUAUCCCCUUUUCUUAUAGAUGUGGGCAACCCGCUUUUAUCUUUUAAUGGCAAUUUUAUUUUGUGUGUCAAAUAAAUCCUCAUUCGAGAGAACUAAAAGUCAAGUAGACAAUUUAAAUUGACAAGGCAACACUCAUUAACUCUUAAUAGGGUAGGAAAAAGAAAAGGAUCAAAUUUCAACUAAAAAAACAAUUAACUAGAACAAUAAAAAUAAAAACAGCAAUGACAAAAGUAAUUAUUUAUUACUACUAAGAAGACUCAAAAUUUGACAGCUGACAGACACAGAC